UACGGGGGGGGCAAGCGUUGUUCGGAAUUACUGGGCGUAAAGGGCUCGUAGGCGGCCAACUAAGUCAGACGUGAAAUCCCUCAGCUUAACUGGGGAACUGCGUCUGAUACUGGUUGGCUUGAGUGCAGGAGAGGAACGCGGAAUUCCAGGUGUAGCGGUGAAAUGCGCAGAUAUCAGGAGGAACACCAAUGGCGAAGGCAGCUCGCUGGGACGUGACUGACGCUGAGGAGCGAAAGCGUGGGGAGCGAACAGG
This 253-nucleotide ribosomal RNA is filed under the name uncultured bacterium. Its description in RNAcentral is "partial 16S ribosomal RNA". It matches the Rfam family "Bacterial small subunit ribosomal RNA", at positions 524 to 776 of the family's 1533-position model. The record is from RNAcentral.